RNAcentral lists this ribosomal RNA (1175 nucleotides) under uncultured Mycoplasma sp. RNAcentral describes it as "bacterial SSU rRNA". It matches the Rfam family "Bacterial small subunit ribosomal RNA", at positions 103 to 1323 of the family's 1533-position model. Lineage: Bacteria; Bacillati; Mycoplasmatota; Mollicutes; Mycoplasmatales; Mycoplasmataceae. The record is from RNAcentral.
CGGGUGAGUAAUACAUAUCUAACAUGCCCCUCUGUGGGGGAUAGCCGCUUGAAAAAGCGAUUAAUACCCCAUAGGAAGCUUUAUCCAUGAUUUAGCUUUUAAAGCCUUCGGGCGCUGAGGGAUUGGGAUAUGCUCUAUUAGCUAGUUGGCGGGAUAAAAGCCCACCAAGGCAAUGAUAGAUAGCUGGUCUUAGAGGAUGAACAGCCACAAUGGGAUUGAGAUACGGCCCAUAUUCCUACGGGAAGCAGCAGUAGGGAAUCUUCCACAAUGGACGAAAGUCUGAUGGAGCAAUACCAUGUGAACGAUGAAGGCCUUUUUGGUUGUAAAGUUCUUUUACGAGGGAUAAUUAUGAUAGUACUUCGUGAAUAAGUGACAGCAAACUAUGUGCCAGCAGCUGCGGUAAUACAUAGGUCGCGAGCAUUAUUCGGAUUUAUUGGGCGUAAAGCAAGCGCAGGCGGAUGUGUAAGUUCUGUGUUAAAUGCAGCUACUCAAUAGUUGUAUGCACCGAAUACUACAUGUCUAGAUUGUGGUAGGGAGUUUCGGAAUUAAGCAUGGAGCGGUGGAAUGUGUAGAUAUGCUUAAGAACACCAGAGGCGAAGGCGGAAACUUAGGCCAUAAAUGACGCUUAGGCUUGAAAGUGUGGGGAGCAAAUGGGAUUAGAUACCCCAGUAGUCCACACCGUAAACGAUGGGUAUUAGAUAUUAGGGCUUUAGCUUUAGUGUUGUAGCUUACGCGUUAAAUACCCCGCCUGGGUAGUACAUAUGCAAAUAUGAAACUCAAAGGAAUUGACGGGGACCUGAACAAGUGGUGGAGCAUGUUGCUUAAUUCGAUAAUACACGAAAAACCUUACCAAGGUUUGACAUCCCUCGCAAAGCUAUAGAAAUAUAGUGGAGGUUAUCGAGGUGACAGGUGGUGCAUGGCUGUCGUCAGCUCGUGUCUUGAGAUGUUUGGUUAAGUCCCGCAACGAGCGCAACCCCACUCUUUAGUUACUUUUCUAAAGAGACUGCACAGUAAUGUAGAGGAAGGAUGGGAUCACGUCAAGUCAUCAUGCCCCUUAUGCCUUGGGCUGCAAACGUGCUACAAUGGCGAACACAAUGUGUUGCAAACCAGCGAUGGUAAGCUAAUCACCAAAUUUCGUCUCAGUUCGGAUAGGAGGCUGCAAUUCGCCUCCUUGA